This 441-nucleotide ribosomal RNA is filed under the name Triticum aestivum (bread wheat). Its description in RNAcentral is "partial small subunit ribosomal RNA". Lineage: Eukaryota; Viridiplantae; Streptophyta; Magnoliopsida; Poales; Poaceae. The record is from RNAcentral.
AUGGCUUUGCCCAUUUCUGCUGGCGAUGGCCUCGACUACACCUUGUUGGCCCUUUGCAGCACUAGGUUUCUCUUCACAGCCAGCAGGCACCUUUGCAAGGAAUCCCAAUGGGACAACGACAUCAUUCAUGUAUGGCGGAAUAGAGGCUUCCUCCUGUAUUCAUGUCUAAGAAGAGGGCCUACUAACUCAUGGGGAAUAUAUUGGGCCCACAUGUGGCCAUCAGUGGAGUUGAGAUGUACUAUGUCUUCUCUUCUCCCAAACCAGGCCGAGCUUUGUGAGCCCAAAGCCUGGGAGUUUAUGGUUGUAUUUCUCAUCAAGGAUGUUGGGGGACUUGAAACCUCGGCAGAUGACCGGCUAGUUCAUUUUCUCAUUGCGGUGUUCGAUCCCCCUAGCAGUUAUGUGGGCUAUCUUCAUCCUGAUAUGCAACUGAGUGGUAUUUAA